CAGCCGCCGCGGGAAUACGUAGGUGGCAAGCGUUGUCCGGAAUUAUUGGGCGUAAAGGGCUCGCAGGCGGUUUCUUAAGUCUGAUGUGAAAGCCCCCGGCUCAACCGGGGAGGGUCAUUGGAAACUGGGAAACUUGAGUGCAGAAGAGGAGAGUGGAAUUCCACGUGUAGCGGUGAAAUGCGUAGAGAUGUGGAGGAACACCAGUGGCGAAGGCGACUCUCUGGUCUGUAACUGACGCUGAGGAGCGAAAGCGUGGGGAGCGAACAGGAUUAGAUACCCCUGGUAGUCCCUGUCUCUUAUA
RNAcentral lists this ribosomal RNA (301 nucleotides) under uncultured bacterium. RNAcentral describes it as "partial 16S ribosomal RNA". It matches the Rfam family "Bacterial small subunit ribosomal RNA", at positions 509 to 808 of the family's 1533-position model. The record is from RNAcentral.